CGAUGACGUGGGCGAAGCCUGUCCGCCUUCCGCGUGAGUGAAGAAGGCCUUCGGGUUGUAAAGCUCUUUCGCAAGGGAAGAAACGAUGCAGUCGAAUAAACUGUGUUAAUGACGGUACCUUGAUAAGAAGCACCGGCUGACUGCGUGCCAGCAGCCGCGGUAAUACGUAGGGUGCGAGCGUUAAUCGGAAUUACUGGGCGUAAAGCGUGCGCAGGCGGUUAUGUAAGACAGUUGUGAAAUCCCCGGGCUCAACCUGGGAAUUGCAUCUGUGACUGCAUAGCUAGAGUACGGUAGAGGGGGAUGGAAUUCCGCGUGUAGCAGUGAAAUGCGUAGAUAUGCGGAGGAACACCGAUGGCGAAGGCAAUCCCCUGGACCUGUACUGACGCUCAUGCACGAAAG
This 399-nucleotide ribosomal RNA is filed under the name uncultured bacterium. RNAcentral's name for it is "bacterial SSU rRNA". It matches the Rfam family "Bacterial small subunit ribosomal RNA", at positions 359 to 759 of the family's 1533-position model. The record is from RNAcentral.